Molecule: ribosomal RNA, 493 nt
Filed under: uncultured bacterium
Lineage: Bacteria
Description: bacterial SSU rRNA
Rfam family: Bacterial small subunit ribosomal RNA
Source: RNAcentral
AAAGGAAUUGACGGGGGCCCGCACAAGCGGUGGAGCAUGUGGUUUAAUUCGAAGCUACGCGAAGAACCUUACCAGGCCUUGACAUCACCCGGAAGGUCGUGGAAACACGGCCGCCCUUCGGGGCCGGGUGACAGGUGGUGCAUGGUCGUCGUCAGCUCGUGUCGUGAGAUGUUGGGUUAAGUCCCGCAACGAGCGCAACCCUCGCCCUUAGUUGCCAGCACCUCGGGUGGGCACUCUAAGGGGACUGCCGGUGACAAACCGGAGGAAGGUGGGGACGACGUCAGAUCAUCAUGCCCCUUAUGGCCUGGGCUACACACGUGCUACAAUGGCCGGUACAAACGGAUGCGAAGGGGCGACCCGGAGCGAAUCCGAAAAAGCCGGUCUCAGUUCGGAUCGCAGGCUGCAACUCGCCUGCGUGAAGGCGGAAUCGCUAGUAAUCGCGGGUCAGCAUACCGCGGUGAAUACGUUCCCGGGCCUUGUACACACCGCCCGU